RNA transcript from Dreissena polymorpha, 3320 nucleotides. It is a transcript of the gene named salivary glue protein Sgs-3-like, with no coding region annotated. The transcript has 2 exons. The record is from RefSeq and is a predicted model, not a curated record. NCBI's taxonomy places the organism in Eukaryota, Metazoa, Mollusca, Bivalvia, Myida, Dreissenidae.
GCUGAUCAUUGUCAUUAGUUAAACGUUACGGCACAGCGAGGAUUGUUGAGGGAUUCGGAUGGAUCCCCACCCCUUCGCGGGAUGGGAUGCGGAAAGUUGACAUUGAACUGUGAUUGCGACUCAAACUUAACAACCCAUGCCGACACGGCAGUUUAUCAGGACCCUCUAUGACCCAAUCUAACAUUGUGAGAUGGGCAUUGACAUGUGCGAUAGGUAAGACAUUGUCGUGAUGGCCAGCAAUAAAUGUUAUGUGCUAUCAAAAUACCAAUGGUUGUUUACCAUGAAAGAAAAAGCGGAGCCCAUCACAUGAUACCUUGAAUCGUUUGAAGAUGCUUCCUCAAGGAAGAGAUUUUAGAAAUUUAACGGAAGGUCAACACAUUACAUUGCUUAUAUAUCUUUUUUAAAUAUUUAUUCCAUAUAGAUUUACGAGAUGUAGAUGAAGACAGUAAAUCAUAGUUUUAUAUAUGAUUUAACCUAUUGUCUAGAGUGUUAACGGGUUAGUUGUUUUGUUGUGGCUGUUGUUGUUGUUUUCAAACAUAUCGCUUGCAUAAUACGACUCAACAUCCUAAUGUACCUUAUAGAGUUUACAUUGCGGCGAUCAUAAUGCAAAUACGAUAGUUAAGUCCAUUUUCUGAUGUAUACUGUUAUUGUAUAAAAGGUCCUUAUAGCAAAGAAACAAUGCAACAUAAUAUAGGAAAAACACAGUUUGUUGAAAGUAGAAAAGUACACUCAAAGGGAUCUUUUCACGGUUUGGUAAAUUGACAAAAUAAAAAAAAAGUUAUUUCAGAUUCGCAAAUUUUCGGUUUAGUUAUGAUAUUUGUGAGGAAACAGUAUUACUGAACAUUUGGCAUGGUCUGAUAUAGCCAUUAUAUGCAUCUUUUGACGAUUUAAAAACCUAAAAAUUAUAAAGCGUUGCAACGCGAAACAAUUGAAUAAUUUGGAGAGUUCUGUUGUUGUCGUUUAAAUUUGUGAAGUUACGAAGAUUGCUUAUAUAACGUAUAAAAUACACGUCUUAUGUAUGAUUGGCAAGAUAGCUCAGUUGGCUAAUGCGUUAUUGCUUCAGGAUUCCGGGGGUCACUGGUUCCAGCACGGCUGCGGUCUACUUUUUUCCCUUUUUAAAUUUUAUUUUUUACUGAAGCUUUUAAAAUUUGAUGUCUACAUUUAUCAAUAUAAAGCAUUUAAUGACAAACUUCAAUACAUGCCAAAAUCUGUGAAAAGGCCCCUUUAAUAUGACUUACAAUUGUCAUAGAUUUCUGUCUUUUGAGAUCAGAAACACAAUUAAGUAAAAUAUAAUGUACUCGUUGACAACUAAUUGUUUUAGCCAAUGCUGACUAGUUAACAUGGAUGUAUUGCUAAAUUUCAAGAAAUUGAUUGCGUUGAAAUAAAACGUUUACGGGAUUUUUCGGUACUCCGGAUGUUCACAAGAACACAAUUCAUGUCAAAGCGAAAGCCCAACUAGACCACUUCAAAAGGGAUAUAAUUACGGCUCUCGAAGGUCAUUGAGGCGUUGAAGCCACAGAUCGACAUACAAAGCAAUAAUUAAUGAGCGGAGGUUGGGAAAGCAUUCGCAAUACUUUCUAUACGACCGAAAAAAAAACAUUUAGAAUUGCGCGACAUUAUUUGUUAUAUUAUUUCAUUUAUAAGUAAUUGAUAAUCAGUUGCGAAACGUAUAUGAGAUAGCCAAAUUUUCCUUGCAUGUGUAUUAGAUAUUAGUCAUAUUCUAUUACAUCGUCUAUCUCAGAAUUAUAUUGAUAAAAUAUUGCUUGUGAAUUACACAUUUUUAUAUUCGUUUCGUAGUCAUAUACAUUAAAAUAUUAUCCAUUAAAUAAUUUAAUCUCGUAUUGCCUAUUGGUUAGCGUUGGAUGUAUACUUUAUAUAACUUAGAUAUUUAGUAUGUAUAUGGAUGGUGGCAAGUAUUUUUAUUUUUAGAACGUUUUUUACAUGUGAUUUCUAUUGCACUUUAAAUCGGAAAUUUGAAGUCAUUUUUACACAAUGUGUGUAUAUAUAUUAUACAUGUCAUAGUAUUUCUGUAUGUAAUAUAAUGUAUAUAUCUUUAUAUAUUUGAAUAAUUUGAUAUGGCAAAGUUUAAAAUGUCCAUAUAUAUAUAUAUUGUAAGCUACCUUACAUGUAAGAUACAAUUGCUCAUCUCUAUGCGCUCAAUUGUAAUUUGAGUUUGAGUCCAGCAACAAACUCUAAGCAGGAAGACGGAGACCGUUUAACGUUUUACAUAAUGCAUCUUUAUUCAGACAAGCAUUAAAUAUUAGAGCUAUAUAAUACAAUAAUAUCUCUAAACUGUUAGAGUUGACUUAAAAAGGAUGGACGUUUGGUGAACAGUUGCUCUGCUUUAAGGUUGUCAAUAUCAUAAAUAGUACUGAUAUUUUAUGAAAUACUAUAAACGUUCGUUUUACUUAAACACCGGUAGUUAGUAGUUAAUGUACAAACAAAUUCUGAUUAUUACUUCUCAUUCGUGAAAUGAAAAUGUUUUAUGAAGUAUUACUGUUUGUUUCUUACUUUUUGGAAGGGUUUUCAAUUGAUCGAACAGUGAUGUUUGUUGUUAGCAACUGUUGCCAAAACUGUGCGGAGAACCUCCUUUUAUACCCUUCGGAUGCUGCAGAUUUGGCUGCAGCCAAAGAUUCAGCUGCAGCCAAUCACAAUCCUGCAGCAUCCUGCACCAUGUAUGGAAGUAAUGCGGUUACAUGUAAACAAGAACAUACUUCUAAUAAUAAUAAAUCGACAAUCAUCAUAAAUAUCACAUCUUAAUCAAAGAAGGCAAUAAGUUUGAUGACUUGAAACAAUAGACACCUUUAAAUAUGCAUGUAUAACAAUACAAUAUUAAAUGCUGCAGCAUGAAAUCUUAAGAAAUUCUUACGCAUUCAGCGUCUCAAAUAGUUCCCUGCAAACUAUUAUGUUUUAACAGUUAAUAUAAAUGAAGAGUUUGCAAGUUAUAAUAAAUAUCAUCUUUUUAUACAAAUAGAGGAGUGAAUAUUAUAAUUGUACAGCCUAUUUUAAAGUCAAAUGCAUGCAAUAACACUCCACCAUAUUCCUACGUAUGACGUCAUCAAUAUACAUUGCUGCAACGAUUUUGACAGUGCAGGAAUUUCGAACAUGUUGGAUUAUUCUCACAACAAACAACAUAUAAUGGACUAAACACAAGGUAAAUACAAAUAUAUAAAUAUAUUAAAUCUUGGAGAACAUUAUCUUGCUAAAUGCAGUGCACUGCAUAGACAAUAUGUGAACAACAAAAAUAAUGUGCACCGUUAUUCGGAUGAGGAAUGAAUUCGGAUGAUAUUUACAUGUUAUACAUGAAAUAUACAUUACAU